GGUGGCGUGUCCGAGCGGCCGAAGGUGCAACACUCGAAAUGUUGUGUGGGUUUAUCGCCCACCGUGGGUUCAAAUCCCACCGCCACCGCCA
Molecule: transfer RNA, 91 nt
Filed under: Actinomycetota bacterium
Lineage: Bacteria; Bacillati; Actinomycetota
Also listed under: 2 other names
Description: tRNA-Ser
Rfam family: tRNA
About the family: Transfer RNA (tRNA) molecules are approximately 80 nucleotides in length. Their secondary structure includes four short double-helical elements and three loops (D, anti-codon, and T loops). Further hydrogen bonds mediate the characteristic L-shaped molecular structure. tRNAs have two regions of fundamental functional importance: the anti-codon, which is responsible for specific mRNA codon recognition, and the 3' end, to which the tRNAs corresponding amino acid is attached (by aminoacyl-tRNA synthetases). tRNAs cope with the degeneracy of the genetic code in two manners: having more than one tRNA (with a specific anti-codon) for a particular amino acid; and 'wobble' base-pairing, i.e. permitting non-standard base-pairing at the 3rd anti-codon position.
Source: RNAcentral